RNAcentral lists this ribosomal RNA (969 nucleotides) under Triticum aestivum (bread wheat). RNAcentral's name for it is "partial small subunit ribosomal RNA". The record is from RNAcentral. Lineage: Eukaryota; Viridiplantae; Streptophyta; Magnoliopsida; Poales; Poaceae.
CCUAUUGAGCUCAAUGGACAAGCCAUAGUAGACAGCCUUACUGAAAUUAAUAAGAGAAGGGUGUGGGCUAGUAGAAUGGUAAGGGAUGACGAACUGUACAUAGUACACGUUCAGGGCAUUGCUGGCGUCAGUCUCCCGACUACGCUGGUCGUCAAGAAGUUCCAGAAUGAGAACCCAGCACUGCAGGUGGACGGCAAUGUCACGUACCGCUACAAGUCGGAGAUGAUCCUCUUAGCCAGCAAUUCUCACGACAACAUCAUCAAAGUCGUAGACCUCAUCCAGUGGGAAGACGCCAUCAUGCUUGUCUAUGAGUAUCCGGUGAAUGGCAGCCUUCAAUCCUGGCUGCACCAACCCAUGGAUGUUGUUCGGACGCUGAGCUGGCCACAGAGGAGGGUCAUUGCCAUCGGCAUGGCCAAAGGGAUCUACCACAUGCAUUACAGAUGCAAAAAGCCGAUUAUCCACCACAACAUCAACUCGAACAACAUCUUGCUUGAUCAGAAUUUCAAGCCCGUGAUAGCCAGUUUUGACGCUGCACAGAUGAACAUGGCCGGGCUCGACCAACCGUUGCCAAUUGCGGGCCUGCCUCUAGGGAACUUUGGUUACUCAGCUCCAGAAUAUGGGGUCGCAGCAAGGGAGCUGACGGAGAAGGUUGACACAUACAGCUUUGGGGUGUUCAUGCUGGAGCUCGUCACGGGGCGGAUGGCCAAUGAAGCUGGAGCGGAUGGUCAUUUGGCGACUUGGGCGCGAAACAACUUCACUAAACUGAUGGCAAACCAACAGGAAAUGUUCCAGAGUGCCGUGGACAGGGACAUCCCAGAUCAAGCGCCGUACAUGGAGGAGAUGGCAACUGUGUUCAUGCUGGGCGUGGAUUGCACCGUUGGGAAUCCGCAGCAAAGGCCGUCCAUGCGGAUGGCUCUCAAACGACUCCGCCACGGCUGUGGGCGUGGCCCAUUCCGUGGACUCCUCACC